This 78-nucleotide transfer RNA is filed under the name Dipodomys ordii (Ord's kangaroo rat). It matches the Rfam family "tRNA". Rfam says of the family: Transfer RNA (tRNA) molecules are approximately 80 nucleotides in length. Their secondary structure includes four short double-helical elements and three loops (D, anti-codon, and T loops). Further hydrogen bonds mediate the characteristic L-shaped molecular structure. tRNAs have two regions of fundamental functional importance: the anti-codon, which is responsible for specific mRNA codon recognition, and the 3' end, to which the tRNAs corresponding amino acid is attached (by aminoacyl-tRNA synthetases). tRNAs cope with the degeneracy of the genetic code in two manners: having more than one tRNA (with a specific anti-codon) for a particular amino acid; and 'wobble' base-pairing, i.e. permitting non-standard base-pairing at the 3rd anti-codon position. Lineage: Eukaryota; Metazoa; Chordata; Mammalia; Rodentia; Heteromyidae. The record is from Rfam by way of RNAcentral.
AGAGGUGUAGCUCAGUGGUAGAGUGCUUGCCUAGCAUACUGGAACUCAAAACCCUGGGUUCAAGCCCCAGCACCACAC